CAGGCACUGACUUCCUCAGCAAAACCCCUAAAGCCCACAAUGUAAAACCAAAAAUCAAUAAGAUGGAUGUCACCAAAUUAAAAAGCCUUUGCACAGUAAAGGAAAUGAUUAAAGGGGGGAGGUUAUGGAAUGGGAGAAAAUCUUUGCCAGCUACUCCUUUGACAAAGGACUAAUAUGCAUAAUAUAUAAAGUCAAAAAUAUCAAUGCCAAACAGAAAACAAAUAGUCCAAUCAAUAAAUGGAUAAAAGAAAUAAACAUAAACGUCACAAAACAAGAAACACAAAUGGCCAAAAAAAUAUAUGAAAUGUUCAGCAUCUCUAGCAAUUAGGGAAGUGCAAAUAAAAAUUACACAAAAAAUUCAUCUCACUCCAUUCAGAAUGUCAACUAAUAAAGAACAUAAAAAAUAAUAAAUGCCAGCAAGUACAUGGGGAAAAAGAUACAUUCUUACAUUGUUGGUGGGACUGAAAAUUAAAACAACUGGAAAUCAAUAUGUAGAUUCCUGAAAAAACUAGGAAUUUGUUCCAGAGAGGUGUUUAUUCAAAAGAUCUAAAAUGAGCAAACUAUAACUUUACAGCCACUAUAAUGUUUGCAGGACCACAUUCAAACAGCCAAAUUGUAGAAUCAACCCAGAUCCCAUCAACAGACAAAUGGAUUAAGAAAAUG
Molecule: long non-coding RNA, 663 nt
Filed under: Marmota monax (woodchuck)
Lineage: Eukaryota; Metazoa; Chordata; Mammalia; Rodentia; Sciuridae
Source: RNAcentral